Molecule: ribosomal RNA, 447 nt
Filed under: uncultured bacterium
Lineage: Bacteria
Description: partial 16S ribosomal RNA
Rfam family: Bacterial small subunit ribosomal RNA
Source: RNAcentral
CGCCAGACUCCUACGGGAGGCAGCAGUGGGGAAUAUUGCACAAUGGGGGAAACCCUGAUGCAGCGACGCCGCGUGAGCGAUGAAGUAUUUCGGUAUGUAAAGCUCUAUCAGCAGGGAAGAAAAUGACGGUACCUGACUAAGAAGCCCCGGCUAACUACGUGCCAGCAGCCGCGGUAAUACGUAGGGGGCAAGCGUUAUCCGGAUUUACUGGGUGUAAAGGGAGCGUAGACGGCAAUGCAAGCCAGAUGUGAAAGCCCGGGGCUCAACCCCGGGACUGCAUUUGGAACUGUGUAGCUGGAGUGUCGGAGAGGCAGGCGGAAUUCCUAGUGUAGCGGUGAAAUGCGUAGAUAUUAGGAGGAACACCAGUGGCGAAGGCGGCCUGCUGGACGAUGACUGACGUUGAGGCUCGAAAGCGUGGGGAGCAAACAGGAUUAGAUACCCCUGUAC